RNAcentral lists this unclassified non-coding RNA (350 nucleotides) under soil metagenome. RNAcentral's name for it is "partial contains 5.8S ribosomal RNA, internal transcribed spacer 2, and large subunit ribosomal RNA". The stretch from base 1 to 120 matches the Rfam family "5.8S ribosomal RNA", at positions 35 to 154 of the family's 154-position model. The record is from RNAcentral.
GAUGAAGAACGUAGCGAACUGCGAUAAGUAAUGUGAAUUGCAGAAUUCAGUGAAUCAUCGAGUCUUUGAACGCGCAUUGCGCCCCCUGGCAUUCCGGGGGGCAUGCCUGUCCGAGCGUCAUUGCUGCCCUUCAAGCCCGGCUUGUGUGUUGGGUCGUCGUCCCCCCCGGGGGACGGGCCCGAAAGGCAGCGGCGGCACCGCGUCCGGUCCUCGAGCGUAUGGGGCUUUGUCACCCGCUCGAUUAGGGCCGGCCGGGCGCCAGCCGGCGUCUCCAACCUUCUAUUUUACCAGGUUGACCUCGGAUCAGGUAGGGAUACCCGCUGAACUUAAGCAUAUCAAUAAGCGGAGGA